AGCUCCAAUAGCGUAUAUUAAAGUUGUUGCAGUUAAAAAGCUCGUAGUUGGAUUUGUGGCGGAACUUGUGGUCCAUUUUGGUACCCUCAGAGCCUGCCAUCUUUCAGAGGAGCUUGUCUGGCAUUAGGUUGUUGGGCAAGGGUUGCUGAUCGUUUACUGUGAAAAAAUUAGAGUGUUCCAAACAGGCGUUUGCCGUUGAAUAUAUUAGCAUGGAAUAAUGAGAUAGGACUUGGGUACUAUUUUGUUGGUUUGCGCAACCAAGUAAUGAUUAACAGGGAUAGUUGGGGGUAUUCGUAUUCCAUUGUCAGAGGUGAAAUUCUUGGAUUCUUGGAAGACGAACUACAGCGAAAGCAUUUACCAAGGAUGUUUUCA
Molecule: ribosomal RNA, 372 nt
Filed under: uncultured eukaryote
Lineage: Eukaryota
Description: SSU rRNA
Rfam family: Eukaryotic small subunit ribosomal RNA
Source: RNAcentral